Molecule: ribosomal RNA, 349 nt
Filed under: uncultured bacterium
Lineage: Bacteria
Description: bacterial SSU rRNA
Rfam family: Bacterial small subunit ribosomal RNA
Source: RNAcentral
UAACAGUUCGAAAGGACUGCUAAUACCGGAUGUGAUCGCGGAGAUUAGAGGCUCUGUGAUUAAAGGAGAAAAUUCGCUUCGAGAGGGGCCUGCGUCCCAUCAGCUAGUUGGUAAGGUAAAGGCUUACCAAGGCGAUGACGGGUAGGGGACCUGAGAGGGUGGCCCCCCACAAUGGAACUGAAACACGGUCCAUACACCUACGGGUGGCAGCAGUAGGGAAUAUUGCAUAAUGGGCGAAAGCCUGAUGCAGCAACGCCGCGUGUGCGAUGAAGGCCUUCGGGUCGUAAAGCACUUUUGGAGGGGAUGAGGAAGGACAGUACCCUUCGAAUAAGCUUCGGCUAACUACGUG